UGUCUUAAAAACUCUUUUUAUUGACUAAGACCAACGUUUUUUAGUAAAACAUGCAAUAUAUAUAUUUGAAAAAAGGAUCUCAACUUUAUUGCUCGUCGUCAUUUAGAGUAAUAGAUGAUCAGAUGCAUAAUAAUAAUAACAAUAACAAUAAUAAUAAUAAUCCUGUUCCACAGCAAUCUCAUCACAAGGAAACAACACGUCUAGACGGUUCCACGGGUUCUAGUUGUGGUAAAUAAAAUAAAAACACAGACCCAGUCCGGUCCACAUAGUAACAUCAAUAAUAGAAACCAACGCUUCUAUUCUGCCCAAACCCGGGUUUGUGACCUUUCACCCUUUUUCAUACCAGGAAGGACCCAACACUUCUAAUCUGCCCAAACCGUGGUUUGUGACCUUUCACCCUUUUUCAUAGCAGGAAGUUGUUUCUUAGACAAACACACACACACACACACACACACACACACACACACACACACACACACACACACACACACACACACACACACACACACACACACACACACACACACACACACACACACACUGAUUAAUUUGUAAAUCGGGAGGGUCCGGGGAACAUUUUCAGUAGCCUAGGGGUCAGGGAACAUUUUCAGUAGCCGAGGGUCUGGGAACAUUUUCAGUAGCCUUUUCAGUAGCCUAGGGUCUGGGAACAUUUUCAGUAGCCUAGGGUCUGGGAACCUUUUCAGUAGCCGAGGGUCUGGGAACAUUUUCAGUAGCCUAGGGUCUGGGAACAUUUUCAGUAGCCUAGGGUCUGGGAACCUUUUCAGUAGCCGAGGGUCUGGGAACAUUUUCAGUAGCCUAGGGUCUGGGAACCUUUUCAGUAGCCAAGGGUCUGGGAACAUUUUCAGUAGCCUAGGGUCUGGGAACCUUUUCAGUAGCCUAGGGUCUGGGAACAUUUUCAGUAGCCGAGGGUCCGGGAACAUUUUCAGUAGCCUAGGGUCAGGGAACAUUUUCAGUAGCCUAGGGUCCGGGAACAUUUUCAGUAGCCUAGGGUCCGGGAACAUUUUCAGUAGCCUAGGGUCCAGGGAAAUGUUGUCCCCGGCAACUUUUAAUCGUUUUAAAUUGCAAAAAAAGUAACAAUUAUUUUUCACACCACGAUACCACACACACACACACACACACACACACACACACACACACACACACACACACACACACACACACACACGUUAAAACACGUUAACACACACAUGCUAGGGCCAGAGUGAUGGUGUUUGGUCAGUAGUGUUGAAGAUCUAACCUCAGGCUGCCUCAUGGAUCCAUCCCCAUUGUUCCAUCCUCAUGGAUCCAUCAUCAUGGUUCCAUUCCCUUGGUACCACCCUCAUGGUUCCAUCAUCAUGGUUCCACCCUCAUGGUACCACCCUCAUGGAUCCACCCUCAUGGUUCCAUCCUCAUGGAUCCAUCAUCAUGGUUCCACCCUCAUGGUUCCAUCCUCAUGGAUCCAUCAUCAUGGUUCCACCCUCAUGGUUCCAUCCUCAUGGAUCCAUCAUCAUGGUUCCACCCUCAUGGUACCACCCUCAUGGUUCCAUCAUCAUGGUUCCACCCUCAUGGUUCCACCCUCAUGGUUCCAUCAUCAUGGUUCCAUCCUCAUGGUUCCACCCUCAUGGUUCCACCCUCAUGGUUCCAUCAACAUGGUUCCACCCUCAUGGUUCCAUCCUCAUGGUUCCACCCUCAUGGUUCCAUUCUCAUGGUUUCAUCCUCAUGGUUCUACCCUCAUGGUUCCAUUCCCAUGGUUCCAUUCCCAUGGUUCUACCCUCAUGGUUCCAUUCCCAGGUACCACCCUCAUGGUUCCAUUCUCAUGGUUCCAUUCCCAUGGUUCCACCCUCAUGGUUCCAUUCUCAUGGUUCCAUUCCCAUGGUUCCAUCCUCAUGGUUCCAUUCUCAUGGUUCCAUUAUCAUGGUUCCAUCCUCAUGGUUCCAUUCUCAUGGUUCCAUCCUCAUGUUAAGGAGACUGUGGAAAAGGCAAUAGAGAUGGUUCUGUGGUAAGGAGGUGCCAGUACUGUUGUUGUUGUUGUUGUUGGGAAGGGGGUGGAUAGACAACAACAUGACCACCGUGCGGAGGAGGAGCUUAUCAAUAUAUACAUCAAUAAAUAAAACAAAGCAUCAUCAAUAAUUUAAUAAGUUAAAGGGGCUCGUCUGUACAGUGUGUCAACAGGGGGUGUGAGGAGGAUGUUUGAGGAGGGUGUCUGUGUCUGUGUGUGUGUGUGUGUUCUGCCAGUGACAGUAUAACUAAUCCUCAGCAACCACAGAGCAGUCAGACAGAGAGCAGACAGACAGAGAGAAGCAUUAAGCCUAAUUUACAACUUCCUCUUCAAAUCCAACGUCCUCUCCAGUCCGUGUCCUCAUCGCUAACUGACUGGACACAUUCUGUUCUAAUGGACCUAGAGGAUGGUGUAGACUGGCUGACUGGCUGACUGACUGGCUGACUGACUGACUGGCUGACUGACUGGCUGACUGGCUGACUGGCUGACUGACUGACUGGCUGACUGGCUGACUGGCUGACUGACUGGCUGCCUGGCUGACUGGCUGACUGACUGGCUGACUGACUAGCUGACUGACUGACUAGCUGACUGUCUGUCUGACUGGAUGACUGGCUGACUGGCUGGCUGACUGACUGACUGACUGACUGACUUACUGACUGACUGACUGACUGGCUGACUGGCUGACUGGCUGACUGGCUGACUGGCUGAGUGACUGAGUGAGUGAGUGACUGAGUGAGUGAGUGACUGAGUGACUGAGUGGCUGAGUGACUGAGUGACUGAGUGACUGAGUGGCUGAGUGGCUGAGUGACUGAGUGAGUGACUGAGUGACUGAGUGAGUGACUGAGUGACUGAGUGAGUGACUGAGUGACUGAGUGAGUGACUGGCUGCAUAAAUACACUUCAAUUCAACAUCAACAUGAAUAUUAAAGGUAAUCUGUGAUGCAUCAACGUGGCUGAAACUAGCAGGGG
Oncorhynchus tshawytscha (Chinook salmon) is the source of this 2967-nucleotide long non-coding RNA. The record is from Ensembl. NCBI's taxonomy places the organism in Eukaryota, Metazoa, Chordata, Actinopteri, Salmoniformes, Salmonidae.